GACGAACGCUGGCGGCGUGCUUAACACAUGCAAGUCGAACGGAAAGGCCCUGCUUUUGUGGGGUGCUCGAGUGGCGAACGGGUGAGUAACACGUGAGUAACCUGCCCUUGACUUUGGGAUAACUUCAGGAAACUGGGGCUAAUACCGGAUAGGAGCUCCUGCUGCUUGGUGGGGGUUGGAAAGUUUCGGCGGUUGGGGAUGGACUCGCGGCUUAUCAGCUUGUUGGUGGGGUAGUGGCUUACCAAGGCCUGGCCGGGUAGCAGGCCUGGUAGGGGAACCGGACCAGUCAGACCGGGACUGCGACCCGGACCACAAUGGGAGGCAACAGAGGAGAGUAGUACACAGGGCGCGGAAGGAAAGUCCGGCAAAGCAACGUGGGGGAAGUGGGGCUGCGGGUUGUGUUCCAAAGCCGUCUGUGCCGAGACGUGAAUGACAGUAACGGGUGAAGAAGCACCGGCUAACUACGUG
RNAcentral lists this ribosomal RNA (468 nucleotides) under uncultured bacterium. Its description in RNAcentral is "partial 16S ribosomal RNA". It matches the Rfam family "Bacterial small subunit ribosomal RNA", at positions 28 to 507 of the family's 1533-position model. The record is from RNAcentral.